Molecule: ribosomal RNA, 252 nt
Filed under: uncultured bacterium
Lineage: Bacteria
Description: partial 16S ribosomal RNA
Rfam family: Bacterial small subunit ribosomal RNA
Source: RNAcentral
UACGGAGGAUGCGAGCGUUAUCCGGAUUUAUUGGGUUUAAAGGGUGCGUAGGCGGAUCGUUAAGUCAGUGGUCAAAUUGGGGGGCUCAACCCCUUCCCGCCAUUGAAACUGGCGAUCUUGAGUGGAAGAGAAGUAUGCGGAAUGCGUGGUGUAGCGGUGAAAUGCAUAGAUAUCACGCAGAACCCCGAUUGCGAAGGCAGCAUGCCGGCUUCCGACUGACGCUGAGGCACGAAAGCGUGGGGAUCGAACAGG